Molecule: ribosomal RNA, 498 nt
Filed under: uncultured bacterium
Lineage: Bacteria
Description: partial 16S ribosomal RNA
Rfam family: Bacterial small subunit ribosomal RNA
Source: RNAcentral
GAUGAACGCUGGCGGCGUGCCUAAUACAUGCAAGUCGAGCGAACAGAUAAGGAGCUUGCUCCUUUGACGUUAGCGGCGGACGGGUGAGUAACACGUGGGUAACCUACCUAUAAGACUGGGAUAACUUCGGGAAACCGGAGCUAAUACCGGAUAAUAUUUCGAACCGCAUGGUUCGAUAGUGAAAGAUGGUUUUGCUAUCACUUAUAGAUGGACCCGCGCCGUAUUAGCUAGUUGGUAAGGUAACGGCUUACCAAGGCGACGAUACGUAGCCGACCUGAGAGGGUGAUCGGCAACACUGGAACUGAGACACGGUCCAGACUCCUACGGGAGGCAGCAGUAGGGAAUCUUCCGCAAUGGGCGAAAGCCUGACGGAGCAACGCCGCGUGAGUGAUGAAGGUCUUCGGAUCGUAAAACUCUGUUAUUAGGGAAGAACAUACGUGUAAGUAACUGUGCACGUCUUGACGGUACCUAAUCAGAAAGCCACGGCUAACUACGUGC